UCUGAUCUACUUCCAAGUGGGUUUUGGGUUCAAUUGAAACAGUUUUGGAUCGAUUUAGAGGCUGUGUUGCUAAGACAUAUUUCUAGGUUCAAUUUGAAGGUUAUCUGGGGUGUAUUUGAAUUUAUUUUGGCUUUAUGUAUUGACCUAAUUGGUUUGAAAACAUUUCUAAACUCUUCCUGGGCUGAUAAAUAUAUUCUUGGGCUGGUUUAUCGAUCAUUGCUGCUGCACUACCUGUUUGCUCCUGCUGAUCUUCCUCUUCUCCUUGUGUUGCAAUUUUCCAGGUACACAGUUGGAACUCACCUUGAUGUAACUUCAGAUUUGAACGAAAUGAAGCCAUUUCUGAUCUAUGUUGGCCAGCUUGUAGUUUUAAUCUGUUGAUUUUAAUUUGUUAAAAUUGUUUAAAUCCUGGACUUUAGAAUUGAGUUUUGUUAUCAGUAGUUCUGGUACAAAUAUUUGGAGCCGGCAAAUUGGUGUAAAUUCUAUUUGUGUUGAAUUGUUUCUUCUAGGCUAGUAGUUUAAGCCAGUUAGUUAAUUUU
Molecule: long non-coding RNA, 536 nt
Filed under: Nicotiana benthamiana
Lineage: Eukaryota; Viridiplantae; Streptophyta; Magnoliopsida; Solanales; Solanaceae
Description: long non-coding RNA (NBEN_LNC031352)
Source: RNAcentral